ACGAGGCACUACGGUGCUGAAGCAACAAAUGCCCUGCUUCCAGGAAAAGCCUCUAAGCAUCAGGUAACAUCAAAUCGUACCCCAAACCGACACAGGUGGUCAGGUAGAGAAUACCAAGGCGCUUGAGAGAACUCGGGUGAAGGAACUAGGCAAAAUGGUGCCGUAACUUCGGGAGAAGGCACGCUGACACGUAGGUGAAGUGAUUUACUCAUGGAGCUGAAGUCAGUCGAAGAUACCAGCUGGCUGCAACUGUUUAUUAAAAACACAGCACUGUGCAAACACGAAAGUGGACGUAUACGGUGUGACGCCUGCCCGGUGCCGGAAGGUUAAUUGAUGGGGUCAGCGCAAGCGAAGCUCCUGAUCGAAGCCCCGGUAAACGGCGGCCGUAACUAUAACGGUCCUAAGGUAGCGAAAUUCCUUGUCGGGUAAGUUCCGACCUGCACGAAUGGCGUAAUGAUGGCCAGGCUGUCUCCACCCGAGACUCAGUGAAAUUGAACUCGCUGUGAAGAUGCAGUGUACCCGCGGCAAGACGGAAAGACCCCGUGAACCUUUACUAUAGCUUGACACUGAACAUUGAGCCUUGAUGUGUAGGAUAGGUGGGAGGCUUUGAAGUGUGGACGCCAGUCUGCAUGGAGCCGACCUUGAAAUACCACCCUUUGAUGUUUGAUGUUCUAACGUGGACCCGUUACCCGGGUUGCGGACAGUGUCUGGUGGGUAGUUUGACUGGGGCGGUCUCCUCCUAAAGAGUAACGGAGGAGCACGAAGGUUGGCUAAUCCUGGUCGGACAUCAGGAGGUUAGUGCAAUGGCAUAAGCCAGCUUGACUGCGAGCGUGACGGCGCGAGCAGGUGCGAAAGCAGGUCAUAGUGAUCCGGUGGUUCUGAAUGGAAGGGCCAUCGCUCAACGGAUAAAAGGUACUCCGGGGAUAACAGGCUGAUACCGCCCAAGAGUUCAUAUCGACGGCGGUGUUUGGCACCUCGAUGUCGGCUCAUCACAUCCUGGGGCUGAAGUAGGUCCCAAGGGUAUGGCUGUUCGCCAUUUAAAGUGGUACGCGAGCUGGGUUUAGAACGUCGUGAGACAGUUCGGUCCCUAUCUGCCGUGGGCGCUGGAGAACUGAGGGGGGCUGCUCCUAGUACGAGAGGACCGGAGUGGACGCAUCACUGGUGUUCGGGUUGUCAUGCCAAUGGCACUGCCCGGUAGCUAAAUGCGGAAGAGAUAAGUGCUGAAAGCAUCUAAGCACGAAACUUGCCCCGAGAUGAGUUCUCCCUGAGACUUUAGGUCUCCUGAAGGAACGUUGAAGACGACGACGUUGAUAGGCCGGGUGUGUAAGCGCAGCGAUGCGUUGAGCUAACCGGUACUAAUGAACCGUGAGGCUUAACC
This 1378-nucleotide ribosomal RNA is filed under the name Salmonella enterica subsp. enterica serovar Minnesota. Its description in RNAcentral is "bacterial LSU rRNA". It matches the Rfam family "Bacterial large subunit ribosomal RNA", at positions 1569 to 2925 of the family's 2925-position model. The record is from RNAcentral. Lineage: Bacteria; Pseudomonadati; Pseudomonadota; Gammaproteobacteria; Enterobacterales; Enterobacteriaceae.